This 200-nucleotide unclassified non-coding RNA is filed under the name soil metagenome. Its description in RNAcentral is "partial contains internal transcribed spacer 2 and large subunit ribosomal RNA". The record is from RNAcentral.
UGUUCGAGCGUCAUUUCAACCCUCAAGCUCUGCUUGGUCUUGGGCCGCGCCGGCGACGGCGGGCCUCAAAAACAGUGGCGGCGCAUCGUGUCCCUCAGCGUAGUAAUUCUUCUCGCUGUUGGGCCCCGGUGGCGCUGGCCAGCAACCCCAAUUUUUCUAUGGUUGACCUCGGAUCAGGUAGGGAUACCCGCUGAACUUAA